GAUGAACGCUAGCGGUGUGCUUAAUGCAUGCAAGUCGAACGGGAUCCUUUGGAUUUAUCUAAAGGUGAGAGUGGCGAACGGGUGAGUAACACGUUGGUGACCUGCCCCAAAGAGGGGGACAACCACUGGAAACGGUGGCUAAUACCCCAGAUGUUGUUGUUUCUAGAAAUCAACAACUAAAGCUUCGGCGCUUUGGGAGGGGCCGGCGGUCCAUCAGCUUGUUGGUAGGGUAAUGGCCUACCAAGGCAAAGACGGAUAGGGGGCGUGAGAGCGUGGCCCCCCACACUGGUACUGAGACACGGACCAGAUACCUGCGGGUAGCAGCAGCAAGGAAUAUUGCCCAAUGGACGAAAGUCUGAGGCAGCAACACCGCGUGAAGGAUGAAGGCCUUCGGGUUGUAAACUUCUUUUCUGGGGGAAGAGAAAGGACGGUACCUCAGGAAUAAGUCUCGGCUAACUACGUGCCAGCAGCCGCGGUAAAACGUAGGAGGCGAGCGUUAUCCGGAUUUAUUGGGCGUAAAGCGCAUGUAGGCGGUUUUCUAAGUCGGACGUGAAAGCUCUCGGCUCAACUGGGAGAGGUUGUUCGAAACUAGGAAACUUGAGGAUGGUAGAGGAGAGUGGAAUUCCCGGUGUAGUGGUGAAAUGCGUAGAUAUCGGGAGGAACACCAGUGGCGAAGGCGGCUCUCUGGGCCAUUCCUGACGCUCAGAUGCGAAAGCUAGGGGAGAGAACGGGAUUAGAAACCCCGGUAUUCCUAGCCGUAAACGAUGUCAACUAGGCGUAGGGGGUUAUUGACCCCUCCUGUGCUGCAGCUAACGCAGUAAGUUGACCGCCUGGGGACUACGGCCGCAAGGCUAAAACUCAAAGGAAUUGACGGGGACCCGCACAAGCAGCGGAGCGUGUGGUUUAAUUCGAGGCUACGCGAAGAACCUUACCAAGGUUUGACAUACUGGUGGUAGUGAAACGAAAGUGGAACGACCCUUCGGGGAGCCAGUACAGGUGCUGCAUGGCUGUCGUCAGCUCGUGCCGUGAGGUGUUAGGUUAAGUCCUGUAACGAGCGCAACCCUCGUCGUUAGUUAUAUGUGUCUAACGAGACUGCCGGUGAUAAGCCGGAGGAAGGUGGGGAUGACGUCAAGUCAGCAUGGCCUUUAUAUCUUGGGCUACACACACGCUACAAUGGCCGGUACAAAUGGGCAGCCAAGUCGUGAGACGGAGCCAAUCCUCUAAAAGCCGGUCUCAGUUCGGAUUGUAGGCUGCAAACUCGCCUACAUGAAAGUCGGAGUUGCUAGUAAACGCGCGUUCAGCAACAGUGCGUUGAAUACGUUCCCGGGUCU
RNAcentral lists this ribosomal RNA (1331 nucleotides) under uncultured bacterium. Its description in RNAcentral is "bacterial SSU rRNA". It matches the Rfam family "Bacterial small subunit ribosomal RNA", at positions 28 to 1381 of the family's 1533-position model. The record is from RNAcentral.